Molecule: ribosomal RNA, 497 nt
Filed under: uncultured bacterium
Lineage: Bacteria
Description: partial 16S ribosomal RNA
Rfam family: Bacterial small subunit ribosomal RNA
Source: RNAcentral
GACGAACGCUGGCGGCGUGCCUAAUACAUGCAAAUCGAACGAGAGCGACCGGUGCUUGCACUGGUCAAUCUAGUGGCGAACGGGUGAGUAACACGUGGGUAACCUGCCCAUCAGAGGGGGAUAACAUUCGGAAACGGAUGCUAAAACCGCAUAGGUCUUCGAACCGCAUGGUUUGAAGAGGAAAAGAGGCGCAAGCUUCUGCUGAUGGAUGGACCCGCGGUGCAUUAGCUAGUUGGUGAGGUAACGGCUCACCAAGGCCGUGAUGCAUAGCCGACCUGAGGGGGUGACCGGCCCACUUGGGCCUGAGCCCCGCCCCAACCCCCUCCGGGAGGCAGCAGUGGGGAUUUUCCCGCAAUGGACGCAAUUUUGACGGGGCAACGCCGGGGGGGGGAAGAAGUUUUUCGGAUCGUAAACCUUUUUUUUUAGAGAAGAAUAAGUUCUAGGGUACCUUUUAGCCCCUUGCCGGUUUUUACCCAGAAAGCCCCGGCUAACUACGU